GCAUAUCAAUAAGCGGAGGAAAAGAAACCAACCGGGAUUGCCUUAGUAACGGCGAGUGAAGCGGCAAAAGCUCAAAUUUGAAAUCUAGUACCUUCGGUGCUCGAGUUGUAAUUUGUAGAGGGGUACUUUGGGGCUGUUCCUUAUCUAUGUUCCUUGGAACAGGACGUCAUAGAGGGUGAGAAUCCCGUAUGAUGAGGAGUGCAGUUCUAUGUAAAGUCCCUUCGAAGAGUCGAGUUGUUUGGGAAUGCAGCUCUAAGUGGGUGGUAAAUUCCAUCUAAAGCUAAAUAUUGGCGAGAGACCGAUAGCGAACAAGUACAGUGAUGGAAAGAUGAAAAGAACUUUGAAAAGAGAGUGAAAAAGUACGUGAAAUUGUUGAAAGGGAAGGGCAUUUGAUCAGACAUGGUGUUUUGCGCCCUCCGCUCCUUGUGGGUGGGGGACUCUCGCUUCUCACUGGGCCAACAUCAGUUUUGGCGGCAGGAUAAAUCUACAGGAACGUGGCUUGCUUCGGGAAGUGUUAUAGCCUGUGGGAAUACUGCCAGCUGGGACUGAGGACUGCGACUUUUGUCAAGGAUGUUGGCAUAAUGGUUAUAUGCCGCCCGUCUUGAAACACGGACCAAGGAGUCUAACGUCUAUGCGAGUGUUUGGGUGUAAAACCCGUACGCGUAAUGAAAGUGAACGUAGGUUGGGGCCCUGUCAUGGGGUGCACAAUCGACCGAUCCUGAUGUUUUCAGAUGGAUUUGAGUAAGAGCAUAGCUGUUGGGACCCGAAAGAUGGUGAACUAUGCCUGAAUAGGGUGAAGCCAGAGGAAACUCUGGUGGAGGCUCGUAGCGGUUCUGACGUGCAAAUCGAUCGUCGAAUUUGGGUAUAGGGGCGAAAGACUAAUCGAACCAUCUAGUAGCUGGUUCCUGCCG
Molecule: ribosomal RNA, 911 nt
Filed under: Jamesozyma rosinii
Lineage: Eukaryota; Fungi; Ascomycota; Saccharomycetes; Saccharomycetales; Saccharomycetaceae
Description: LSU rRNA
Rfam family: Eukaryotic large subunit ribosomal RNA
Source: RNAcentral